UAAUUUAGUCCGCGAAUCAAGUUUUAUAAUUAUGGGUUGUAACAACCAACCUCAAAAAAAUUAUCCUUCCCAAAGAAAUCUCUUCUUUUCUCCUCUUUUUUAGUACCUUUGUCAGUGGUUAUACACUGUUUAUGCUGACCAAUGUUUCAGUGUUGUUAACUUUCCCCAUAAGAUUCAAUCCAACUCAUUAGGGGACAAUUUUAGAUAUAUUAACAAUUCCAAUAUAGAAUCUUGAAUAAUUCCUUAAAAAGUGUUUCUUUUUUUAGAAUAAAAAUCCAAUCUUUUUGUGUAUCACUUAUAUGGUGUCUUUAACUUUUAGAUUCUAAUUUUUCUUGAAUCUCCAUCUGGGGUUGUUGUUUUCUUGAUUUCUGGAUCUGCUGAGAUAAAUGGGUAUUUGUUUGAGCAAAAGUAAACCAACAGAGUACAAGUCUAGUGCGCAUCAUAGAUCAGGUGGGAGUGAUGGGGGUAGGGGGCAUCAUCAUGGAACCCAUCAAACUCAAAUUCAGUAUACUAAAUCAGCAGGCCCAGAAACUCAAUCACCCAUGAGAACUCAAGCAAGUCGUAAACCAGUAGAAACCAUUUUGGGCAAGGCAUUUGAAGAUGUUAAGGCACACUAUACACUAGGUAAAGAAUUGGGUAGAGGUCAAUUUGGGGUUACAUUUCUUUGUACUGAAAUAUCAAGUGGUCAUCAAUAUGCUUGUAAGUCAAUAUCAAAGAAGAAACUUGUUACUAAAUCUGAUAAAGCUGAUAUGAGAAGAGAGAUUCAGAUUAUGCAGCAUUUGAGUGGACAACCAAAUAUAGUUGCAUUUAAAGGUGCUUAUGAGGAUAAGAAUUCAGUGUGUCUUGUUAUGGAGUUGUGUGCUGGUGGAGAGUUAUUUGAUAGGAUCAUAGCUAAGGGUCAUUACACUGAAAGAGCUGCUGCAUCAAUGUGUAGAGCUAUUGUUAAUGUUGUACAUGUUUGCCGCCUGAGAACUUUCUCUUGUCAGACGAGUGAAAAUGCUGCUUUGAAGGCAACAGAUUUUGGGCUGUCUAUGUUCAUUGAAGAAGGUAAGGUGUACAAGGAUAUUGUUGGGAGUGCUUACUAUGUUGCCCCAGAAGUGUUGCGUAAGAGUUAUGGCAAGGAAAUUGAUGUUUGGAGUGCAGGUGUUAUGUUGUAUAUACUACUUAGUGGUGUGCCUCCGUUUUGGGCAGAAACCGAGAGAGGUAUAUUUGAUGCCAUAUUAAAAGAAGACAUUGACUUUGAAAGUCAACCUUGGCCCUCUAUCACAACUAGUGCCAAGGACCUGGUCCGAAAGAUGCUCAAUAAAGACCCAAAGCAACGUAUUUCUGCUGCUCAAGUUCUUGAUCAUCCUUGGCUCAAGGUAGGUGGAGUAGCAUCAGAUAAACCAUUAGAUAAUGCUGUCCUCUCAAGAAUGAAGCAAUUCAGAGCUAUGAACAAACUCAAGACUUGCUUUAAAGGUCAUUGCUGAGAAUCUCUCAGCAGAUGAAAUUCAGGGGCUCAAAUCAAUGUUCCAUAACAUUGACACUGAUAAUAGUGGAACAAUCACUUAUGAAGAAUUGAACAGCGGAUUGGCCAGACUUGGAUCAAAGCUCACAGAGGCGGAAGUAAAGCAAUUGAUGGAAGCUGCUGAUGUGGAUGGAAAUGGCUCGAUCGACUAUAUUGAGUUUAUCACUGCCACCAUGCAUAAACAUAGACUAGAAAGAGAUGAAAAUCUAUACAAAGCAUUUCAGUAUUUCGAUAAAGAUGGUAGCGGGUUCAUUACAAGAGAUGAACUCGAAACAUCUAUGGAAGAGCAUGGAAUAGGUGAUCCAGCUAGUAUAAGGGAAAUAAUAUCUGAAGUGGACGCUGAUAAUGAUGGAAGAAUCAACUAUAAGGAAUUUUGUACAAUGAUGACAAGUGGAGCUAAACAACCAGGCAAGCUCUUCUAAUAACACGAAUCUCCUAGUCGUUGGAGGUAGUGAUUCUUCAACGUUUGCAUCAUGGACUGCCCAUAUGAUAUGACAGACAUCAAGUACAUGAACAACCUGAACUAGUUGGAGCUUUUAACUUCUCCCUGUAAAUUGGUGAUUCCUGUUUCUGUUCUUUUUCUCACUAUGUUGAAUUGUCUACUCAUUAGUUUUUUCUAUUCCACAAAGAGCACAGAGGAAAUGAGUGAAGAACAUAAACUCUUUACUAUUUGAAUAGAGAAACAAAUGACCUUGUAAAUAUAUCUUGUGUUAUUUUCAAGUGUUUUUAUAUGUAAAAUAAACAUCUCUUGUAAAAAGAAACUGUGGAACAUCUUUCACCCACAUUUUGUUUA
This is an RNA transcript of Solanum lycopersicum (tomato), 2300 nucleotides long. It is a transcript of the gene named calcium-dependent protein kinase 2-like, with no coding region annotated. The record is from RefSeq and is a predicted model, not a curated record. Lineage: Eukaryota; Viridiplantae; Streptophyta; Magnoliopsida; Solanales; Solanaceae.